UACGAAGGGGGCUAGCGUUGCUCGGAAUCACUGGGCGUAAAGCGCACGUAGGCGGCUUCUUAAGUCAGGGGUGAAAUCCUGGAGCUCAACUCCAGAACUGCCUUUGAUACUGAGGAGCUCGAGUCCGGGAGAGGUGAGUGGAACUCCGAGUGUAGAGGUGAAAUUCGUAGAUAUUCGCAAGAACACCAGUGGCGAAGGCGGCUCACUGGCCCGAUACUGACGCUGAGGCACGAAAGCGUGGGGAGCAAACAGG
This 253-nucleotide ribosomal RNA is filed under the name uncultured bacterium. Its description in RNAcentral is "partial 16S ribosomal RNA". It matches the Rfam family "Bacterial small subunit ribosomal RNA", at positions 524 to 776 of the family's 1533-position model. The record is from RNAcentral.